GGCUCGGUAGCUUAGUUGGUAAAGCACUCGUUUAGCAUACAAUAAUCCUGGGUUCUAAUUCCAGCUGAGCAU
RNAcentral lists this transfer RNA (72 nucleotides) under Aedes aegypti (yellow fever mosquito). It matches the Rfam family "tRNA". From Rfam's summary of the family: Transfer RNA (tRNA) molecules are approximately 80 nucleotides in length. Their secondary structure includes four short double-helical elements and three loops (D, anti-codon, and T loops). The record is from Rfam by way of RNAcentral. Lineage: Eukaryota; Metazoa; Arthropoda; Insecta; Diptera; Culicidae.